Molecule: transfer RNA, 71 nt
Filed under: Muntiacus reevesi (Reeves' muntjac)
Lineage: Eukaryota; Metazoa; Chordata; Mammalia; Artiodactyla; Cervidae
Also listed under: 4 other names
Rfam family: tRNA
About the family: Transfer RNA (tRNA) molecules are approximately 80 nucleotides in length. Their secondary structure includes four short double-helical elements and three loops (D, anti-codon, and T loops). Further hydrogen bonds mediate the characteristic L-shaped molecular structure. tRNAs have two regions of fundamental functional importance: the anti-codon, which is responsible for specific mRNA codon recognition, and the 3' end, to which the tRNAs corresponding amino acid is attached (by aminoacyl-tRNA synthetases). tRNAs cope with the degeneracy of the genetic code in two manners: having more than one tRNA (with a specific anti-codon) for a particular amino acid; and 'wobble' base-pairing, i.e. permitting non-standard base-pairing at the 3rd anti-codon position.
Source: Rfam by way of RNAcentral
UCCCAGAUGGCUCAGUGGUAAAGAAUCUGCCUGCAGAGCAGGGGACGUGGGUUCGAUCCCUGGGUUGGGAA